AUGUCUAUUUUGAAUGACAGUACUACCAAUUCUACAUAAUAAAACCCCUCUCUCUUCCGUUGUCAUCUCCCUUCCCUAGUUUCUUCUCCUUCCUGCUACAUUCCUUCCCCCUUUCCUUCUCCUCUCCUCCUUCUUUCCUUCUUCUUCUCCCCUUCUCCUUUUCCCUUUCUUCUCCAUCACUCUCUCCAUGACAGUUGCCAAUCUCAUCUCCCUGUCUUCUCUCUCUAGUAUGACAACACAAGAUUUAUGCCAAACACCAAAAAUGUCUCGCUUUCCCACUCCCGUUUUCUAUCGCGUGUAAGGGAUUUUGCUUAUAUGAGGUAAUUAGUGAGGGAUUUUGUUUUAAUUUUUUCAAGUUAACUAAAAAUUUGUAGUUCCCUAAUUUUAUUAUGGUUUUGUAGUUUUUGUUCAAUUCAAUCUAUUUUUAUGACUAAUUUGCUAAUUAUCAGAUUUCUCAUACUUUGUUCUGUUUAAACCAUAUUUAUUUUAUCUAAUUUGUUAAUAUUUAGUGAUGUUUUUGGCAUCAAUUGUUGUUGAAAUUUUGUUAAUUCAUGUUUUCUCAUGUGAUGGACUGUUGUUCUGCAGUGAACAGCAUCAAAAGAAGAAGGGGAAAAGAGGAGAAGGGGGAAGGGGAAAGGAGAAAGGUAGCACCGACAGAAGAAGGGGAAGAAAAGAAGAAAGGGAAAAGAAGGUGGGAAAAAGGAAAAGUCAUCAUUAUGUUUUCUUUUAUUUUGUUGUAUAAACACUUUGUAUAAUGAGAUAUAUUGUUGAAGAACGUUACCAAUGGAAGCAUUUAUGUCCGAUAUGGAUUUUAUUUUAUUUAAAAAAAAAUUAGCAUGGGUGUCGGAUAAAGGAGCAUUUUUGUUUAUUUUUUAUUUUUAUUCAAAACAUAAAUUUAGUUUUUAUAAUUUUUAUUAUGUCGGUUAUAUGUGACAGCAUUGUCUCUAUAUUCGACGAGAUUUCUCAACAAUUAAUAUCGCCUAUAACUAUCGGGAGUGUUAAUUUCACUUAUAUCCGACACUAUUUUCUUGUCGAUUUUAGAGUCAUAACUAACAGUAAAGCCUUUUCCUGACGCCAGCAAUUCUGUCGCUUCUCUUAU
Molecule: long non-coding RNA, 1099 nt
Filed under: Malus domestica (apple)
Lineage: Eukaryota; Viridiplantae; Streptophyta; Magnoliopsida; Rosales; Rosaceae
Description: long non-coding RNA (MDOM_LNC016484)
Source: RNAcentral